UAAUUUUUCAUAUCUCUGGUUGUAUACAAAGUAUAUUCACACCAAUUCAUGUCCUUAUACAUGUACUUUGGAUAAUAAUGAUCAUCACAUUCCACCAUCAUUUAUAACCCUAUGCCCCCUGCCUUUCCCUCCACCCCCUUUUCCCUAUCUAGAGUUCGUCUAUUCCUCCCAUGCUCCCUCUCCAUAUCCCACUAUGAAUCAGCCUCCCUAUAUCAAAGAAAACAUUUGGCAUUUGUUGUUUUGGGAUUGGCUAAAUUCACUUAGCAUUAUCUUUUCCAACGCCAUCCAUUUACCUGAAAAUGCCAUGAUUUUAUUCUCUUUUAGUGCUGAGUAAUAUUCCAUUGUGUAUAUAUGCCACAUUUUUUUUAUCCAUUCAUCUAUUGAAGGACAUCUAGGUUGGUUCCACAGUUUAGCUAUUGUGAACUGUGCUGCUAUAAACAUUGAUGUGGCUGUGUCCCUGUAGUAUGCUGUUUUUAAGUCCUUUGGGUAUAGACCCAGGAGAGGUAUAGUGGGUCAAAUGGUGGUUCCAUUCCCAAUUUUCCAAGGAAUCUCCAUACUACUUUCCAUAUUGGCUGCAUCAAUUUGCAGUCCCAGCAGCAGUGUAUGAGUGUACCUUUUCCCCACAUCCUCUUCAACACUUAUUGUUGUUUGUCUUCAUAAUAGCCAUUCUGACUGGAGUGAGAUGAAAUCUUAGAGUGGUUUUGAUAUGCAUUUUUCUAAUUGCUAGUGAUGAUGAACAUUUUUUCAUAUAUUUGUUGACUGAUUGUAUAUCUUCUCCUGAGAAGUGUCUGUUCAGGUCCUUGACUCAUUUAUUGAUUGGGUUAUUUGUUUUGUGUGUGUGUGUGCUUAGCUUUUUGAGUUCUUUAAAUAUCCUAGAGAUGAGUUCUCUAUCUGAUGUGUGAGGGGUAAAGAUUUGCUCCCAAGAUGUAGGCUCUCUAUUCACCUCACAGAUUGUUUCUUUUGCUAAGAAGAAACUUUUUAGUUUGAGUCCAUCAAGAAAUAAAAUCAAAAACCACUUUUACUUUUUGUAUAGGAAAGAACUCAGUGCUUAAAUGAAUCAUUUCUCAUUUUGGUUUCAUAAAGUUUUCUUGCUCAGUGUUUUUUUUCCUUUUCUUAGGUGGAGAGGAAUAAUAAAGAGGAGUAUUUGGAGCUAGAAUUUAUGAAUUAAGGACUGUACUCGGCCAUUAAUUUUUUUGUUUCCAUUAUUUCAUUAUAUAAAUUGUGAAUUAUUUGCUCAUAUUUUGUUAUGAUAUUUAUAUUUCUGUUAUUGAUUGCUUGCUGGUGUCCAGCCCUAGCGGGGUCUGGGGAGUCCUGAAGGAUGAGUGGUGUCGGCUAAACCAUGAGACAGGAGUCAUUUCGUUGGAGCAAUCUCCAUUAGAAAGAGUUCUAAUGCAGCUUUCUCUGUGUCAUCUUUUAUUACAAUUUUUCUCAUCAUUAUAGAUUCAGAAUACGUCAUUGAUUAUACAAUUUCAAAACUUUGCCAAGACAUAACGUUUCCUUAACCAUAAUUAGGGGUAUAGAAAAAUGUAACAUCAAUUUACAGUUUUCCAGGAUGUGACUUUUUAAUUAUCAAUCAUUAAUAAAAUGCGUUACUAAUUUACAUUUUUUCAGAUUUUCCCAAGAUGUACUAUUAACUAAUGCCAAACUACGUAACCAGACUAAGUCUCCUAACCUAUCAUUAACCUUUAAGUUUUAAAGUACACCUGCACUUUUAUUUCUAAUCUAAAAUUCCCAUCUAAAAAAGUCCCCUUAAGUCUUACACUUAAAAUAUCCUAAAGUUUAUAAGCCAUUCUUAAAGCAUAUCAGAAACCCAUACAGCUAAAAACUUAAGAAUUCUAAACCCAAGAAUCUAAAUAGAAUAAUAUUUCUAACAUUAUUCUAAAAAUAUGUCUUAUAAAGCUACUUUAAUUAAUUCCUAAAUUUAUUCUCAUAAAACUGGUUGAGCUACUUUCUCAAAGAGUUUCUUUGUUUCUCAGUCAAGGUGCACUAGUUCUUAUAUCUUUAUAAUCUUUCUCAAUAAAAAGUAAGUUCUAAACAUCAGUCCACUUUCCACCAAUAUUAAGUAUGCUCAUCAUAAAUCCCUAUGUGAAGUAAAAAAGGGUUUAUAGAAAUGAAAAGAAUGUAUCCUUAUAUGUCUUGACUUUCCUAAGUGUAUAACAUAAUUUUCCUAAAUCAAGAAUAAAACUACAUAUGGUGGGUUUUGUAUAAUGAUUAGGUUUUCUAAAAGGCCGGAAAUAUGGGCUUAGGUUCUAGUUGAUUUUAAUCAAUGUGGUGCCUAAAAUUCUUGUGACCUUUCAGAGAAUGAUUGCUGUCCAUUAUCAAUUUUGUCCCCAAUGUGCUGAGAUAGUAGAGCAGCUUUCUACUUUGUCCUUGACAUGCUGAGGGGUAGUAGAACAGCCUUCAAGGUAGUAGAACAGCCUUAUGGCAUUUAACAUACUCAUGUCUCCUGUCAAGAACAUGAGCAUGAAAAUGAGAAGUCCCAAUUACAUAUAAAAGGGUCUCAUGGUUUCGGUUUCCCACCAACCAGCACGGCUUUGCCAGCAUUCAUUCUCACUGUGGCCUUGUCAAGACAGUGGGAGAGUGGCUUUGCCAGCACUUAUUUUCACUAUGACCUUGUCAAGACAGUGAGAGACGGUGGUCGCUUUCACCAAUUGCUCAGCACUGUUUUUAUAUCAAGAGUCUGCCUCUGAUUUUGUUUCUUCUAGGGGGUUGCUCACCUUUUCCAUGGAGGCUUAUUUCUUGUGUGCUUGGUGUCAUGUUCCUUCUCCUGAUGGUUGCAACCAUUACAAUGGCUUUUUUUACUGCAAACUGUGAGUAACCAGAGAGUCCUCUAAAUUGUCUUCCCUUGGAAGCAUUAUUUCUUUCAUAUAAUAUGAUAAGCAGAAACUAGGUUCACAAUUUUACCUCAUCAAAAUUCUACCUUGACUGGGGUGGUAGUUCAGUGGUAGAACAUUUUCCUGGGAUGUGCUAGGCCUUCCUUAGGCUCAAUUCCCAGCAUCAGGGGGGGGGGGGGGGGGGGGAAACAAAAAACUUACCUUUAAAUUUUCUUUAAAAUUUCUGACUUAUGCUUAUAGAAUAUAGACUUUUAUUAUUUCAUUUUGAUGUAUUAAUUUAAAGGAAGAUCUAAUUAUGAUAUUGACUAUUUUUGUAGCAUUUUCUGAAAGAACAUCUUCCUCAAUGCAACAAAAAGGUAGGCAAUGAUUUUAUAGCUUGGCUUCUUAUACUGAUUUAAGAAGAAAAUACUUUUAUUAUUUGUAUUAGUUCCAUAAACAUAGAGCCUUUAUAGCAAGGUACUACAAUAUGUACUUACAGAAGUUAUAAAAUAUAGUCCCCCAAACAACUUUAAGAGAUAGAAGUUUAUGUAACUUUCAAAUAAAUUCAUUUGAGAAAUUCUUGUGAGAUCUCAUAGGUUUAUAGAUCAUAAAAUUAAAUAACAUAAGAACAAAUUUUUGAAAAGGCAGAAUUUAUGUUGAAAGGUCAAAAUUUCCAGCCAAAAAAAUUAAUCUGGUGAUGUAACAUGAAGGUAUUUCAGUCUGUAAAUGCUAUAAUGAUAUAGAAGUAAGAAAACUAAUGGUUCAGCUAUUUUUAUCAUCUUUACGUAAGAUUCCUAUGCUAUCAUAAAGUGUAUAUUCAUAAGGUGUGUUUUUAACAAAUAAUAAACAAAAUCAGAGUUUGUGUAUCUUCUCAGUGCAAUGACAAAGAAUCUUUGCCUAGGACCUUGCUGUCAUCCUUGUCCAAAGAAUUGGGUCUGGUUCCGAUGCAAUUGUUAUUACUUCUCCAAGGAACAGUUAUCUUGGAGGGAGAGUCAAAAUGUCUGCUUAUCUCUAAAUUCCAGCCUCCUAAAGAUAAACAGAGAUGAGAUGGUGAGUUUUUACCGAGUGUCAUAAUAAUAUGAGAGAUAGAUGAGAUUGAUUAACUAGAUUGAACUGAGGAAUCUUUAACAUUUGCCCAAAUUCAGCACUAGACCAAUAGCUGAAGGAUAAUACUCAUUUAUCUUUUGUUUCCAUUUUCACAUGCAAAAUAUAGGUCUAUGUGGUGGGUAAAAAAAGAGAAAAAUAUUUUGAAAUAAUAUUUGAUAUUACCUUUAUAAAAAAUUAUAAAUAAUAAAUCCAGAGAGAGCCAGAUAUUAUAAGGAAUACCUCAGUCAAAGAAAAGGAACCUGGUAUAUCCCAGCACUAAUAGGGUAUAGCCUUUGUAGCUCCAAAUCUAAUACCAUUGUGUGACCAGUACAUCCGAAUCUGGAACACUAUGUGAGAAGAUGGAGAAUGGGUCCUAAAUGUGCAUCAGCAUUGAAGUAAAGGUCCCAUUGUGUCAGUUUUCCUAAUAGAGAAGAUCCUUUUUAUUAUGCACCCAAAGAGGUAGAUAAUGGGGGUAAAAUUAAUCUCCAAGAAAUCUGUGAUGGUUUUGUUCUUUUAAAAAUCUCACUCCUUUCUUCUUCAAACCAACACUAUUAUUUUUACUCAAAAAAAUUUAUUUAUUUUCUGUAUCUCCUAUAAAAUAAGGAUGUUGUGUUUUUCACUGCUACUCAUCAGCAUCUAAAAUAGUCUUGUACUACAGGAUACAUUAAUGAUUUUGUGGGCUGGAGGAAUUGAAUAAAUAUACAUAUGAUGUUGAAUUUUUUAAAGGUUCUUUCAUGCAGUUGAUGAAAAAAUAAUAAUUUGUGUAUUUUUUUCUUACCACCAGAAUUUCUUCUCUUUGAACUCUUUCUUUUGGAUUGGAGCCUACUAUAAUGAAAUUUUCCAUCAGUGGGUAUGGGAAAAUGAUUCAGCUCUGCCCCCUUAUUUGUAAGUAUCUACCUGACAUAAAGGGCUUACUUUAAGUAUAAUGUUUGCCUCAAGGAACUGCAUUUAUCAAAAAGAACAUUAAUGAAGGAUACCUGGGCCUUAAUUUCAAGGACAUUUGAGUAACAGAGGAAAGAAACAGUGAUUUGAAACCAAUCUUAUAUACAGAAUUGUAGAUUCUAGAAGUAACUAACAUUUAAUUCCUUAAUCUGCUCUCCCUGAGAAUCUUUCUUAUAAACCACAUUUGUUUUCUAGUGCUUCCAUAACCAAGUACCACAGACUGGGUAGUAUAAACGGAGGACACAUAUUCUCUCAGAGGCUGAGAUCAAGAUGUCAGCAGGUUGAUUUCUUCUGAGGUCUCUCUUCCUUGACUUUCAGACAGCCAUCUUCUCCCUAUAUCUUUGCACUAUGCCCAGGUUUCCUUCUCUUGUGACACCAGUCAUAUUGAAUUAGGGCUCAUCAUAAUUAUUUCAUUUUACAUCACCCAUUCAAAGACCCUAUCUCCAAACUUUCUGAGGAUCUGAACAUUUGAGUUUUGGGGAAAUGCAGUUCAAUCCAUAAUACAUUGCCCUCUGACUCCCCAAACUUUCCAUCUUUCUCAUAUGCAAAAUACAUUCUCAACAACUCCAAAGGUCUUCAAUCAUUUCAGCAUCAACUUUAAGUCUACAAUCUCAUCUAACUGUCAUCAAAAUCAGAGCUGGUACAUGAAUCAUUCUGUGGCAAAAUUCCUCUCCUGCUGAGAAUUUAGGAAACCAAAUAAUUUAUUGUAUCUUAGGACAUAAGGGUGGGACAAAAAUAGGACAAAUAUUUCCAUUCCAAAAGGAAAAAUCAGACAGAAUAAAGGGGUCAUAAUGAAUCCCAAGUAAGUCUGAAAUUUAUUAGGGAAAAGUCCAUUAAAUUUUAAGAUUCAAGAAUAAUUCUUUUUGGUUCAUUGCAGUAUUCUAUCCUCUGGCCCCACCAGAAUGGUGGCCGUGAACCCUUGACCCUCCAUGGUGGUAUCCUAGACUGAUGUAGUUGAGGAGAUGGCCCUUCCCUUUGAAACUGAGGCAGUUUCCCUUUUCUGGAGCCAGGGAGGAGAUAGCCCACUCCUGGGCCUGUUCCUCUAUAAUCUAUCAACUUUUCAAUUUACUAAAAUUUUACUUGUAUGUGCCACUAAGUGACAGAAAUUAAAUUUUGUUAAAUUACAUAAAAAUCGUAAUUUUAAAAUUUGCAUAAAACAAAAGUUGUAUAUUCCCUUUGAGAUUGUAUAGAAUUCCAUUAUAACUGUGAUAUUUCUUCUGUUUUAGGUUUCAGCUUCCUAGACCUCAGAUGCAACAAGCCUGUCUAUCUUACAAAUCAAAAGAAAUUUAUUUUUCUGAAACAUGUAAAGAGAAACAAGGCUACAUUUGUAAGAAGCACCUUAUUUAUCCUACAAUGUCAUAAUAGAGAUGAAAGUUACUUUUUUUAAUCCCAUGUCCUGACAGCACUGCCAAGCUUUAUACAUAAAAUAAUGUAAAUUUAUAUCUUUGAUAUAAUAAAAAUGAUAUCUAUACAAAUACAUUCCAGUGUCACUAAAGUAUACUAUAAUUUUGUUGAGCAGAUAGUUUUAUUUACAUGACUUUUCAUGAAAUAACACUGAUAGUAUUUAGGAGAAUAUUCAUUUUAUGAAACUUAUAAUAAAUGAUUUCUGAAUUAAGCAGUGAGAUAAGGUUAGAAUGUUGAAUAGUAAAGAUCCUAUGUUAUAUAUAGUUAUAUGAUUGUUACUAUCAUUGUACAUCGUGUGUGUGUGUAUGUGUGUGUACAUACAUGCAUGGCCUAUAAAAUUAUUAAAAUUUAGUGUUAAGCAAUAGCAAAGAUUUUAUAUGGAAAGAAAAACUGUAUGAUUACAAAAGAAAUAGAAU
This 6661-nucleotide long non-coding RNA is filed under the name Marmota monax (woodchuck). Lineage: Eukaryota; Metazoa; Chordata; Mammalia; Rodentia; Sciuridae. The record is from RNAcentral.